CCAAUAGCGUAUAUUAAAGUUGUUGCAGUUAAAAAGCUCGUAGUUGAAUUUCGGGGUCAGUAGGUCGGUCGUGCCACAGGUAUGCACUGGUCUCACUGAUUCCUCCUUCCUGAUGAACCGUAAUGCCAUUAAUUUGGUGUUGCGGGGAGACUGGACUGUUACUUUGAAAAAAUUAGAGUGUUUAAAGCAGGCUAACGCUUGAAUACAUUAGCAUGGAAUAACGGAAUAGGACGUUCGAUCUUAUUUUGUUGGUUUCUAAGAUUGACGUAAUGAUUAAUAGGGAUAGUUGGGGGCAUUUGUAUUCAAUUGUCAGAGGUGAAAUUCUUGGAUUUAUUGAAGACUAACUACUGCGAAAGCAUUUGCCAAGGAUGUUCUCAUUAAUCAAGAACGAAAGUUAGGGGAUCGAAGACGAUCAGAUACCGUCGUAGUCUUAACCAUAACCUAUGCCGACUAGGGAUCGGAUGAUGUUAAUUUUUUAAUGACUCAUUCGGCGCCUUACG
Molecule: ribosomal RNA, 500 nt
Filed under: uncultured Glomeromycotina
Lineage: Eukaryota; Fungi; Glomeromycota
Description: partial small subunit ribosomal RNA
Rfam family: Eukaryotic small subunit ribosomal RNA
Source: RNAcentral